Molecule: transfer RNA, 67 nt
Filed under: Marmota monax (woodchuck)
Lineage: Eukaryota; Metazoa; Chordata; Mammalia; Rodentia; Sciuridae
Description: tRNA.Ala
Rfam family: tRNA
About the family: Transfer RNA (tRNA) molecules are approximately 80 nucleotides in length.
Source: RNAcentral
GGUUGUGGCUCUGUGGUAGAGCACUUGCCUAGCACGUGGGAGGCUCUGGGUUCAAUUCUCAGCACCA